GAGCUCUGGCUGAGGAUUCUAAUUUGCGAUAUUUACUGGUAAUCAGUAGGACGACGGUUCGAUCCCGUCAGGGUAUC
Molecule: transfer RNA, 77 nt
Filed under: Cyclobacteriaceae bacterium
Lineage: Bacteria; Pseudomonadati; Bacteroidota; Cytophagia; Cytophagales; Cyclobacteriaceae
Description: tRNA-Thr
Source: RNAcentral